RNAcentral lists this unclassified non-coding RNA (349 nucleotides) under plant metagenome. Its description in RNAcentral is "partial contains 5.8S ribosomal RNA, internal transcribed spacer 2, and large subunit ribosomal RNA". The stretch from base 1 to 104 matches the Rfam family "5.8S ribosomal RNA", at positions 51 to 154 of the family's 154-position model. The record is from RNAcentral.
AAAUGCGAUAAGUAAUGUGCAUUGCAGAAUUCAGUGAAUCAUCGAAUCUUUGAACGCACGUUGCGCUCCUUGGUAUUCCGAGGAGCAUGCCUGUUUGAGUGUCAUGGAAUUCUCAACUCUAUUUGCUUUUGUGAAUAGAGCUUGGAUUUGGAGGUUUAUUGCUGGUACUUGUGAUCGGCUCCUCUUGAAUGCAUUAGCUCGAACCUUUGCGGAUCAGCUAUCGGUGUGAUAAUUGUCUACGCCGUUGCAGUGAAGCAUAUCAAUGGGCUCGGCUUCCAAUCGUCCUUUACUGGACAAUGACUUUGACCUUUGACCUCAAAUCAGGUAGGAUUACCCGCUGAACUUAAGC